RNAcentral lists this ribosomal RNA (288 nucleotides) under uncultured bacterium. RNAcentral's name for it is "partial 16S ribosomal RNA". It matches the Rfam family "Bacterial small subunit ribosomal RNA", at positions 332 to 638 of the family's 1533-position model. The record is from RNAcentral.
CGUGCCCUACGGGAGGCAGCAGUGGGGAAUAUUGCACAAUGGGGGAAACCCUGAUGCAGCGACGCCGCGUGAAGGACGAAGUAUUUCGGUACGUAAACUUCUAUCAGCAGGGAAGAAAAUGACGGUACCUGACCAAGAAGCCCCGGCUAACUACGUGCCAGCAGCCGCGGUAAUACGUAGGGGGCAAGCGUUAUCCGGAUUUACUGGGUGUAAAGGGAGCGUAGACGGCCGUGCAAGGCUGAUGUGAAAACCCGGGGCUCAACCACGGGACUGCAUUGGAAACUGAUU